Non-coding RNA from Aegilops tauschii subsp. strangulata, 445 nucleotides. The record is from RefSeq and is a predicted model, not a curated record. NCBI's taxonomy places the organism in Eukaryota, Viridiplantae, Streptophyta, Magnoliopsida, Poales, Poaceae.
CAAGCGCGGAGGGAGGGGAGCACGGGAGCCCCAAGGGAGGCGGAGCAGCGGCAGGUGGCGUGGAGGUUGGAGAUCUUGGUGAGGACGGCGCGACGCGAGGUCAUGGUGGCAUGUGUCGGAGCAGUGGUAGGUGGCGUGUGCAGAAAAUGAGUGACAAGGAUGAUGAGAAUAAAGGGAGUGCAAUGUGGUUAUUGAAGAAGGGCAAGGAAGAGGAAGACACAUGUUAGUCGGGUGAAGUCAGCAGCGAUCGCUAUCCGUGAUGUUAUUGGCCAAAUAGGUUGUCUAAACAUUUUGCUAGGUCUCCCUCAGGGAUGAUGGUGUAACCUUGUUUCAAGUAGAUAAACAGAAGUGGGCUAAAAGAGUGUCAUAUUACAACAGAUCAGUUGGUGUGAAACUAGAUGUUGGACUAAUACGUAAUGUAAUGGGCAUGAAUGCAUUCUUUUGA